AAUGACGGCGAUUUAAGUUUUAUGAAUUUAACUUUUCGUCAAUCACUACGUCAUUUUAUAAGCAAAUAUUAUAAUCAAUCAAACAAAACUAUCAUGAACACAUUAUUACCACCAGAUGAAGUACGAGAACUAAAAAUUGUUGCAUGUUGAAGAACAUUCAAAAUUCAAUUUAAAAUGUAUAUGAAAAGAUGACAAUAAUGGAAAAUACACCUGACCCUGUAUUCAAAUAUGUGUUUAAACGAAUUAUUUAUUUUAAUUCUGAUCACAAAGAUUUAAUCAUCAAAACUCUAAAAGUAAUAAAGGAUGAAAUAUCGAAAACAAAUAGCUGUGAUACAUUUGAUUGUAUUGUCUAUAUAGAUUCUUUCGGAAUCUAUUGCAAUAAUGAAAAUAUAAUCAAUGAGUUUGAAAGAUUUUUAGUUAGUAGAUUACCAGAUAAUACACUUAUAUACCCACAUUAUACAGUAAAUUCAGUAAAUUUUGAAGAUAUUAGGAAAUUUCAAAUACAUACACAUUUACCUCUAGGUCGAUGUAUUAUAGAGGCAAUACAGGUAAUAAAAGAAAGUAUUGACAAAUUUACUUUACAAAACAUAUUUUUGAGCUUUAAUGGUGGAAAAGAUUGCGUCGUUUUAUUAUAUCUAUUUCAAGCUGUGCUUGAAGAAUUAAAAUUUAAUGAACGAAUCAAAGCUGUUUAUUUUCAAUCAGAUGACCAAUUUUCUGAAGAAGAAGACUAUGUACAAUCCACAGUAAACAGGUUUAAUUUAGACUUAACAGUAAUCAAAGGUGAACUUAAAUCUGGUCUUAAUGACUUUUUGAAGGAAAAUCCUCAAUUUUGUGCAUCUAUCAUAGGUACAAGACAAUCUGAUACAGGUUCUACAAAACUGCAGUUCUUUCAAAAAAUUAGGUGCACUAAUUGUUCCAUGCUCGGUCGGAAAUUGAAGUCUGCGCACAGUGCGCACGCCUAUGAUGAAUAAUAUCACAUAGUAUUCUAAUUACACAUAAACUCCAGUAUUGUAAAAUGUUUGAGUAAUAGUGUAGGUCAUUGAAUGAAUAUAAUUUUUACUAAGUUUAAAACAUUUUUUAAUUAGUGGCUUUAUAUUACAUACAUUUUAGUAAGUAUACAAUGUACUUUUAUAUAUUUUAUAAAAAAAAUCAUUUAUUGCAUGUUAAUUACAAUUUUUAUUUUAGUUUAUCUUUAAUUACUUCAUAACUUUUUUGGUCAGAUAAAAUGAAUAAAACUUAUUUAAUGAUAAUUAUUAUAUUUAUUUUGUAGUAUUUUAAAUAUAUUUGUUUUUAAUUUACUCAAAUUCUUUUUAAAAGUAUUUUUAACAUUGCAUUUAUUACUAUAUAUUGGAUACUUAAAUAGCAAGAUAAUAUCAUACAAAUUGAAAAAAUAAAUAAAUAGUUUCUUUUAUUGUCAAACUUGAAAAAUUAAUUUUAGAUCAGUAUAAUAUAAUUAUUAUAGAUAAUAAUAUUGUCAGUACCUAAUUCAUCUAAUUGUAAUCAAUUACUACUAUACGACUAAAAUAUAUGACUUUGAAAACUACUAAUCAACCAUGUAUUAUUAUUUUAGAAAACUGAUCCAGGCUGGCCUAAAUUAGUACGAGUACAACCUUUAUUGCAUUGGAAUUAUGAUAACAUUUGGUCAUUUUUGAGACAAUUCUCUAUUCCGUAUUGUAGCUUGUAUGAUAAAGGGUAUACAUCUCUUGGUAACAAGUCAAAA
Rhopalosiphum padi (bird cherry-oat aphid) is the source of this 1720-nucleotide RNA transcript. It is a transcript of the gene named FAD synthase-like, with no coding region annotated. The transcript is spliced from 6 exons. The record is from RefSeq and is a predicted model, not a curated record. NCBI's taxonomy places the organism in Eukaryota, Metazoa, Arthropoda, Insecta, Hemiptera, Aphididae.